UUUAAACAUGGAAAGUGAAUGUGCACCUAGUAAAUGUCAGUGAGUGUGCCACUAUAUGUGCAUCCAAUUCAAUUCGUAUUUUUUUUUUGCUGACGAAACUGAUCUCCAAAACAGUGUGGACUAAAUUAUUUUAAAUUGCAAUGAUGUGGAAAACUAAAAAGCCAAUUUAUUACAUCACCAAUAACAUCAAAAGAGAAGUAUUUGAACUGGCCACGAGACUGAAUAUAAAUUUGGAAUUUGUAUAUGUUAUGAAAAUUUAUAUUCUUACAUCUACUUUUUACCUGAUCCCUUUAACUCAAAGGUAAAACACGCUACAGAAUUUUGCAUGUACAUGUGCACAUGCAGUUAGGGGCUAGGGGCAAGCUACAAAAUUAUUCAGUCCAGCUUCAAUAUAUAUUCAUCUAAACUAUGAUUCAUUCACAACUACAUCAAUUGUCAUGCUGAGAAAGAGAAAGCUCUGAUACUUAAUGCUUAUAUUUCUGAAAAUUUGGUGGUCCAACACAACAUGAAACAUUACCGGUACAUGAUGUAACACAGACAUAAAUCAAGGUUCUCCCUUGCCAUGCUAUAAGCUCCAUAUGCAAUUCAUCAAUGCCCAUCAGCCUUAUCCACCAAAAUAUAGCCCUGACACACAAACAAUAGAGAUGCAAGUUUAGGGAUAUGUCAUUAGCACGCACCAAAAGAAUUUGUAUUAACAACUUCAUUCAAUCCCAACCGCCAAUUCCCGAAGCCAACUUAUUAAAUCAAAUCAGUAAGUUGGCAUGCUCAAUAACAAAUUAGUAAGAGAGCCCGACGAACACGACAAGCCAAAGAAUCUUCGAGAACUCGUCCACUUCUUUUACAGCCAUCUCGCCCGACGCAGCUGCAUACCUGAUGUACCCUCCGCUUCGCUCCAUCUGUUCGAGCUACCCCUGCCCAAGCCUGACCCAACCUAGCUUCGCCUUGUUACAAGGUGCAUCAGUGGAUAGAAAACAGCCAGCUGACCUGGGCGGAUGAGAGGCCACCACUGGAUAUCUGGAUCUCGUUCCAAGCCUCUCUCCAUCACCUCUCGUUGUUCCAAGACGCCACUGGAUCCCAUUCCCCGGUUGCCUGAGGCUGCCAGUGGAGGGACAUGUGACGGCUAGGGCAUCGCGGCAGGGGGGGCGUGCUUAGGUCUAAUGGCCGUCGUGUGUUAGGCCGCCGGGGUCGCCGAUGGGGUGGUGGUCCAUCUACUGGGGGCGUCGGCAUCACUGACGUGGAGGCGGCGUGGCGGGGGUGGGAGAAGGCGACGCUCCUUUUUUUCUUCCACUCCAUCGUGGAUUAUUAUGCAAAGAGAUUGCAUUAUUACCAGAAAGCGGGGAGAUUGCCGAUUAUUCCAUCAGGAGAGACCUGGGCGAAGGAAAGAGAUCUGGUGUACGAUUGGAAGCUAAACGAUCGAAACGAACGACAUACCAUGACCUACCAUCACGACCGCAGACUCCUCUUUAGGAGUAGAGAUUGGGAGGCGGGGAUGGGUGCGGCCAACGAAGUCGCGGUAGGUCGUCAUCUUCCAGGAAGACGGCGCCCCGCGGGAGGUCGGCGUUGACCAGGAAGGCGGCGGCAGCGCACAAACCUAGCUUCCGAGCGGGCUGCCGCUGAGCGGAACCGUUCGCUUGCCAAACAGGAUGAAACAACCCGUGGACGAGGGUGUUGGUGUGACGAAAAAAGACAAAAAAAUCACGAAACAGAUAACAAAUUAAAUAGGUACAUAAAUGCUUUCAUGAUGAGGUUUAUUUGUUUCCAGAAAAUUCGUUAUUUGUUUCUAUAAAAUCUGUUAUUUGUUUCUUAAGAUAAAUUGCAUUAAUAAGAGAGAUCGGUUGAUUUGGACAAAUUAGGAAAGUUUAGUCCGUGAUUUUUUAUACGUUAGGAAAGUGCUGCUUUGCUAAAAAAUGAAGAGAAAAAUAAACCAACGUGGAGAAUGGUGGUGGGAGGGGAGAUGAAAAAAACCAGUGAAAAAAAAGAUUGAAAGUGGUGGGACAAAAAUAAACCAUACUCAACCAACUCAGGCAUUAGGAGUAGAGAUAUGAAUCAACAGGAGAGCUGGCUUCUACCUCCGAUUUAUGGUGGUUCUUUCCUCUUCUUUUCGACCCCUUGCUCUCGUGCUUGCAAACCGAUAUUCACUUGUUCAACCUGAACUUGAGGAAUCACUUCGCUCACAUGGAAGGCAAACGAGUGAGAUAUCUGUAUUACCGGGUUAGCCACGUGGACAAUGAAAACUGGCCUAGCCUUUCUAUCCAUCAGGCUGUUGUACCGGCACCACCUAACGUCGGUAGAGUAGAGCAAGGCAGCAACCCAGGAACCUGGACAAGGAC
This 2330-nucleotide long non-coding RNA is filed under the name Triticum aestivum (bread wheat). RNAcentral's name for it is "long non-coding RNA (TAES_LNC000086)". Lineage: Eukaryota; Viridiplantae; Streptophyta; Magnoliopsida; Poales; Poaceae. The record is from RNAcentral.